CACGUAGGGCGCAAGCGUUGUCCGGAAUUAUUGGGCGUAAAGAGCUCGUAGGCGGACUGUCACGUCUGCUGUGAAAACCCGGGGCUUAACCCUGGGCUUGCAGUGGAUACGGGCAGACUAGAGGCAGGUAGGGGAGAAUGGAAUUCCCGGUGUAGCGGUGAAAUGCGCAGAUAUCGGGAGGAACACCGGUGGCGAAGGCGGUUCUCUGGGCCUUACCUGACGCUGAGGAGCGAAAGCGUGGGGAGCGAACAGG
Molecule: ribosomal RNA, 253 nt
Filed under: uncultured bacterium
Lineage: Bacteria
Description: partial 16S ribosomal RNA
Rfam family: Bacterial small subunit ribosomal RNA
Source: RNAcentral